GAUGAACGCUGGCGGCGUGCCUAAUACAUGCAAGUCGAGCGAACAGACGAGGAGCUUGCUCCUCUGACGUUAGCGGCGGACGGGUGAGUAACACGUGGAUAACCUACCUAUAAGACUGGGAUAACUUCGGGAAACCGGAGCUAAUACCGGAUAAUAUAUUGAACCGCAUGGUUCAAUAGUGAAAGACGGUUUUGCUGUCACUUAUAGAUGGAUCCGCGCCGCAUUAGCUAGUUGGUAAGGUAACGGCUUACCAAGGCGACGAUGCGUAGCCGACCUGAGAGGGUGAUCAGCCACACUGGAACUGAGACACGGUCCAGACUCCUACGGGAGGCAGCAGUAGGGAAUCUUCCGCAAUGGGCGAAAGCCUGACGGAGCAACGCCGCGUGAGUGAUGAAGGUCUUCGGAUCGUAAAACUCUGUUAUUAGGGAAGAACAAAUGUGUAAGUAACUAUGCACGUCUUGACGGCACCUAAUCAGAAAGCCACGGCUAACUACGUG
RNAcentral lists this ribosomal RNA (497 nucleotides) under uncultured bacterium. RNAcentral describes it as "partial 16S ribosomal RNA". It matches the Rfam family "Bacterial small subunit ribosomal RNA", at positions 28 to 507 of the family's 1533-position model. The record is from RNAcentral.